RNAcentral lists this ribosomal RNA (625 nucleotides) under Salinicola sp. RNAcentral describes it as "bacterial SSU rRNA". It matches the Rfam family "Bacterial small subunit ribosomal RNA", at positions 91 to 709 of the family's 1533-position model. Lineage: Bacteria; Pseudomonadati; Pseudomonadota; Gammaproteobacteria; Oceanospirillales; Halomonadaceae. The record is from RNAcentral.
GCGAGCGGCGGACGGGUGAGUAAUGCAUAGGAAUCUGCCCGGUAGUGGGGGAUAACGUGGGGAAACCCACGCUAAUACCGCAUACGUCCUACGGGAGAAAGCGGAGGCUCUUCGGACUUCGCGCUAUCGGAUGAGCCUAUGUCGGAUUAGCUAGUUGGUAAGGUAACGGCUUACCAAGGCGACGAUCCGUAGCUGGUCUGAGAGGAUGAUCAGCCACACUGGGACUGAGACACGGCCCAGACUCCUACGGGAGGCAGCAGUGGGGAAUAUUGGACAAUGGGCGAAAGCCUGAUCCAGCCAUGCCGCGUGUGUGAAGAAGGCUUUCGGGUUGUAAAGCACUUUCAGCGAGGAAGAAAGCCUUUGGGUUAAUACCCCAGAGGAAGGACAUCACUCGCAGAAGAAGCACCGGCUAACUCCGUGCCAGCAGCCGCGGUAAUACGGAGGGUGCGAGCGUUAAUCGGAAUUACUGGGCGUAAAGCGCGCGUAGGUGGCUUGGCACGCCGGUUGUGAAAGCCCCGGGCUCAACCUGGGAACGGCAUCCGGAACGGCCAGGCUAGAGUGCAGGAGACCAAGGUAGAAUUCCCGGUGUAGCGGUGUUAUGCGUAGAGAUCGGGAGGAGAAAUGC